RNAcentral lists this transfer RNA (76 nucleotides) under Candidatus Latescibacterota bacterium. RNAcentral describes it as "Candidatus Latescibacteria bacterium tRNA-Glu". It matches the Rfam family "tRNA". From Rfam's summary of the family: Transfer RNA (tRNA) molecules are approximately 80 nucleotides in length. Their secondary structure includes four short double-helical elements and three loops (D, anti-codon, and T loops). The record is from RNAcentral. Lineage: Bacteria; Pseudomonadati; Candidatus Latescibacterota.
GGCGUAUUCGUCUAGCGGCCCAGGACGCUGGCCUCUCACGCCAGAAACAGGGGUUCGACUCCCCUAUACGCCACUA